CACAUAUGUAGCUGGAUCUGAAAACAAGACAGAACCUUUUAAUCUUGAAUUGCCCUGGAUUAUGCUGUACACAUUGCCUGAGGCAGAGGAUGAUUGAUGAAGUGUCUUAAAUAAACCAGGAUGCUGCAUCAAACCAAAUAGGAAGACUACCUAAAAAUCCACAUGGAAACUAUGACGUGUGGGACAUUUAAGAUAUGUCUGGCAAGAGGACUCAAAACCAGGAAGGCAGUAGAAAUAAAG
Passer domesticus (house sparrow) is the source of this 240-nucleotide long non-coding RNA. RefSeq lists it as uncharacterized. Lineage: Eukaryota; Metazoa; Chordata; Aves; Passeriformes; Passeridae. The transcript is spliced from 3 exons. The record is from RefSeq and is a predicted model, not a curated record.